Molecule: transfer RNA, 76 nt
Filed under: Desulfovibrionaceae bacterium
Lineage: Bacteria; Pseudomonadati; Thermodesulfobacteriota; Desulfovibrionia; Desulfovibrionales; Desulfovibrionaceae
Description: tRNA-Glu
Rfam family: tRNA
About the family: Transfer RNA (tRNA) molecules are approximately 80 nucleotides in length. Their secondary structure includes four short double-helical elements and three loops (D, anti-codon, and T loops). Further hydrogen bonds mediate the characteristic L-shaped molecular structure. tRNAs have two regions of fundamental functional importance: the anti-codon, which is responsible for specific mRNA codon recognition, and the 3' end, to which the tRNAs corresponding amino acid is attached (by aminoacyl-tRNA synthetases). tRNAs cope with the degeneracy of the genetic code in two manners: having more than one tRNA (with a specific anti-codon) for a particular amino acid; and 'wobble' base-pairing, i.e. permitting non-standard base-pairing at the 3rd anti-codon position.
Source: RNAcentral
GUCACCAUCCUCUAACUGGUUAGGAGGGCGGCCUCUCAAGCCGCAAAUAGCAGUUCAAGCCUGCUUGGUGACGCCA